AGAGUUUGAUCAUGGCUCAGAACGAACGCUGGCGGCGUGGAUAAGACAUGCAAGUCGAACGGGAUCAAGUUUGUAGCAAUACAAAUUUGGUCCAGUGGCAAACGGGUGCGUAACACGUGAGCAAUCUGCCGGGGAGUGGGGGAUAGCUCGCCGAAAGGCGAAUUAAUACCGCAUGUGGCCAGGAAGGACAUCCUUCCACAGCCAAAGUCGCAAGACGCUUCCUGAUGAGCUCGCGGCCUAUCAGCUAGUUGGUGAGGUAACGGGCUCACCAAGGCGAUGACGGGUAGCUGGUCUGAGAGGACGACCAGCCACACUGGAACUGAGACACGGUCCAGACACCUACGGGUGGCAGCAGUCGAGUAAUUUUUCACAAUGGGGAAACCCUGAUGGAGCGACGCCGCGUGGAGGACGAAGGUCUUCGGAUUGUAAACUCCUGUCAUGCGGGAACAAGAAAGUGAUAGUACCGCAAGAGGAAGAGACGGCUAACUCUGUG
This 493-nucleotide ribosomal RNA is filed under the name uncultured bacterium. RNAcentral describes it as "bacterial SSU rRNA". It matches the Rfam family "Bacterial small subunit ribosomal RNA", at positions 8 to 507 of the family's 1533-position model. The record is from RNAcentral.